Molecule: ribosomal RNA, 553 nt
Filed under: Pseudoxanthomonas sp. Ri1Ps_4553
Lineage: Bacteria; Pseudomonadati; Pseudomonadota; Gammaproteobacteria; Lysobacterales; Lysobacteraceae
Description: bacterial SSU rRNA
Rfam family: Bacterial small subunit ribosomal RNA
Source: RNAcentral
AAUACCCGGGUGUUCUGACGGUCCCAAAGAAUAAGCACCGGCUAACUUCGUGCCAGCAGCCGCGGUAAUACGAAGGGUGCAAGCGUUACUCGGAAUUACUGGGCGUAAAGCGUGCGUAGGUGGUUGUUUAAGUCCGUUGUGAAAGCCCUGGGCUCAACCUGGGAAUUGCAGUGGAUACUGGGCAACUAGAGUGUGGUAGAGGAUAGUGGAAUUUCCGGUGUAGCAGUGAAAUGCGUAGAGAUCGGAAGGAACAUCUGUGGCGAAGGCGACUAUCUGGGCCAACACUGACACUGAGGCACGAAAGCGUGGGGAGCAAACAGGAUUAGAUACCCUGGUAGUCCACGCCCUAAACGAUGCGAACUGGAUGUUGGGUUCAACUUGGAACCCAGUAUCGAAGCUAACGCGUUAAGUUCGCCGCCUGGGGAGUACGGUCGCAAGACUGAAACUCAAAGGAAUUGACGGGGGCCCGCACAAGCGGUGGAGUAUGUGGUUUAAUUCGAUGCAACGCGAAGAACCUUACCUGGUCUUGACAUUCCACCGAACUUUCUAGAGA